AGUGAACGCUGGCGGUAGGCCUAACACAUGCAAGUCGAACGGCAGCACAGUAAGAGCUUGCUCUUACGGGUGGCGAGUGGCGGACGGGUGAGGAAUACAUCAGAAUCUACUUUUUCGGGGGGGAUAACGUAGGGAAACUUACGCUAAUACCGCAUACGACCUACGGGUGAAAGCAGGGGAUCUUCGGACCUUGCGCGAUUGAAUGAGCCGAUGUCGGAUUAGCUAGUUGGCGGGGUAAAGGCCCACCAAGGCGACGAUCCGUAGCUGGUCUGAGAGGAUGAUCAGCCACACUGGAACUGAGACACGGUCCAGACUCCUACGGGAGGCAGCAGUGGGGAAUAUUGGACAAUGGGCGCAAGCCUGAUCCAGCCAUACCGCGUGGGUGAAGAAGGCCUUCGGGUUGUAAAGCCCUUUUGUUGGGAAAGAAAAGCAGCAGGUUAAUACCCCGCUGUUCUGACGGUACCCAAAGAAUAAGCACCGGCUAACUUCGUG
This 492-nucleotide ribosomal RNA is filed under the name uncultured bacterium. RNAcentral describes it as "partial 16S ribosomal RNA". It matches the Rfam family "Bacterial small subunit ribosomal RNA", at positions 29 to 507 of the family's 1533-position model. The record is from RNAcentral.